GGGCCUUCAAGCUCAUGGCAACUAUUCAGCAUUAAUGCGACUGAGUCCUUGGCAGUUUCCAUCCAUUGUGGUUGUCCACCUGGUUGGGGUGGUCCCAUUUUCGGUGGUGGAUGUCCAAGAGGAAAGCCGUGCGCUGCCAGCGGUGGUGGUGGUCCUGGAGGCCCACGUGGAAACCCGAAGCCCCCAAGCUGGGGAGGAGGUGGUCCAGGUGGUGGGCCUUGUUUAAGAUCGGAAUCUGUCAAAGCCAUUUCUUCAGGUAACCCAGGAAGCAAAAUUGUCUCUCCAGGCUUGAUAUCUACUACGCGAGCCUUCCACAUGGCGAACUCCAGAGCUGCUGAACACGCACCCGAGGUGAAAA
Molecule: long non-coding RNA, 358 nt
Filed under: Gossypium barbadense (sea-island cotton)
Lineage: Eukaryota; Viridiplantae; Streptophyta; Magnoliopsida; Malvales; Malvaceae
Description: long non-coding RNA (GBAR_LNC011940)
Source: RNAcentral